This is a long non-coding RNA of Diachasmimorpha longicaudata, 353 nucleotides long. RefSeq lists it as uncharacterized. The record is from RefSeq and is a predicted model, not a curated record. Lineage: Eukaryota; Metazoa; Arthropoda; Insecta; Hymenoptera; Braconidae. The transcript has 2 exons.
UACGGUACCAUUGGGGUUGAAUGUGAUGUUGGAAUGUUCUAAAUAUUCUCUGAAAACGGAAAAUGUCAAUUAAUGGUCAUAAUUUUUGGGGUAAAAAUUCAACGCAAGAGGUCAAGGAGUUUUCAAAAAUUAUCCUAAUGGGAAUGGGAGGGAAUAUGACUAAUACCCGGGAUAUCAGCAAUCUACGCAGAUGGAAAGGUACACCUCUGCGUCGUGGAGGAUUCCGUCGAUAGUUACAACAGGAAAUGAAGGAGCGAUGAAGGAAUUUUUCGAAUGAAUUAAAACGUGAAAUUGUAGGGAUUUACGAGAAAUUUUUGCCCGUAGAUACCACUCUAAUAAAUAUGGAUGCAGAA